CGGACGGGUGAGUAACGCGUGAGAAUCUGCCCUCAGGACGGGGACAACAGCUGGAAACGGCUGCUAAUACCCGAUGUGCCGAGAGGUGAAAUGUAAUUCGCCUGAGGAUGAGCUCGCGUCUGAUUAGCUAGUUGGUAGGGUAAGAGCCUACCAAGGCGACGAUCAGUAGCUGGUCCGAGAGGAUGAUCAGCCACACUGGGACUGAGACACGGCCCAGACUCCUACGGGAGGCAGCAGUGGGGAAUUUUCCGCAAUGGGCGCAAGCCUGACGGAGCAAGACCGCGUGCGGGAUGAAGGUCUGUGGACUGUAAACCGCUUUUGAUAGGGAAGAACACAAUGACGGUACCUAUCGAAUCAGCCUCGGCUAACUCCGUGCCUGCAGCCGCGGUAAUACGGAGGAGGCAAGCGUUAUCCGGAAUUAUUGGGCGUAAAGCGUCCGUAGGUGGUGAUGCAAGUCUAUUGUCAAAGCAUGAGGCUUAACCUCAUACCGGCAGUGGAAACUGCAUUGCUAGAGUGCGAUAGGGGCAAGGGGAAUUCCCAGUGUAGCGGUGAAAUGCGUAGAUAUUGGGAAGAACAUCGGUGGCGAAAGCGCCUUGCUGGGUCUGCACUGACACUGAGGGACGAAAGCUAGGGGAGCGAAAGGGAUUAGAUACCCCUGUAGUCGGUAAAGCGUCCGUAGGUGGUGAUGCAAGUCUAUUGUCAAAGCAUGAGGCUUAACCUCAUACCGGCAGUGGAAACUGCAUUGCUAGAGUGCGAUAGGGGCAAGGGGAAUUCCCAGUGUAGCGGUGAAAUGCGUAGAUAUUGGGAAGAACAUCGGUGGCGAAAGCGCCUUGCUGGGUCUGCACUGACACUGAGGGACGAAAGCUAGGGGAGCGAAAGGGAUUAGAUACCCCUGUAGUCGGG
RNAcentral lists this ribosomal RNA (903 nucleotides) under uncultured Oscillatoriales cyanobacterium. Its description in RNAcentral is "bacterial SSU rRNA". The stretch from base 1 to 674 matches the Rfam family "Bacterial small subunit ribosomal RNA", at positions 99 to 873 of the family's 1533-position model. The record is from RNAcentral. Lineage: Bacteria; Bacillati; Cyanobacteriota; Cyanophyceae; Oscillatoriales.